GAUGAAGAACGCAGCAAAAUGCGAUAAGUAGUGUGAAUUGCAGAAUUCAGUGAAUCAUCGAAUCUUUGAACGCACAUUGCGCCCCUUGGUAUUCCAUGGGGCAUGCCUGUUCGAGCGUCAUUUGUACCCUCAAGCUCUGCUUGGUGUUGGGUGUUUGUUCCGCCUCUGUGUGUGAACUCGCCUCAAAACAAUUGGCAGCCGGCGUACUUGUUUCGGAGCGCAGCACAUUUUGCGAUCCAGAUCAACGUACAGCGGCAUCCAAGAAGCCUUAUUUAACGCUCUUGACCUCGGAUCAGGUAGGGAUACCCGCUGAACUUAAGCAUAUCAAUAAGCGGAGGA
RNAcentral lists this unclassified non-coding RNA (339 nucleotides) under soil metagenome. RNAcentral's name for it is "partial contains 5.8S ribosomal RNA, internal transcribed spacer 2, and large subunit ribosomal RNA". The stretch from base 1 to 120 matches the Rfam family "5.8S ribosomal RNA", at positions 35 to 154 of the family's 154-position model. The record is from RNAcentral.